CAAUCAUUGAAAUAGAGAUGAAAUAUUUUACUGCAUUUUACUAUUGAUAUAAUGACAUCCUCAAAAUUUCUGGAUAUUUUCAUGGUUCAUACUGUUUUACAAAAUUAUCUAAAACUGCUCUUCUUUUUAUAUUUUUCACCAUUUUUGAAGUUAUUAAGACUUUCCACCUUAGAUUCAUUUCAACAAAACAACCAUGAUUGCGGAUUUUUUUUUCUAAAGAUUACAUGUUUCCCUGAUUAAAAGGGGAUAGAAAAUCAUUCUUCCUGUUAGUGACCCUGGGCAGCUUGGCUCUCUGGUGGAUUCUACUCUUUUCCCCUGCUGUAGUUUGAACUGCAAGAUCUGAUGCUCUGUGAUGUGUUCCUCAGUGAUAGAUCCAUGGACAACUCACUGGAUGUGGCCCUGUGAGGCACUAGAGGGAGACUGGGAGGUGGAGAGAAGAAUCAAGCCAGCCUUGUCUUCUCUUUACCCACUUCCAAUGGCAGUGGCUGUGUGAUGGCCUCAGUUUCCCCAGGGAGGCACCCACGGGUGAGCUACAUCACCUCCAUCACUUCCUCAUGGCACUCACUGGCCUGGUGCAGUGGCUUCCUGCUGACACUGAUCCCUGUGUACUUGCAUUCUCUUUUGGCUCUCUGCCCCUCCCUCACCUGUGCAAUGGUUUUCCUGCAUUAUGUUCUCCCUUGUUAGGUAGAUACAUAGAUACAUAAUAUGGAGACAUAGGUAUAGAGAGAUAUAGAGGUAGAUAUAAAGAUACUUAUAUAUGUUUUAUACGGUUUCUCUUUUCCAGGCAUUUCCCGCGUAAACUCUUAGUCAAUGACUCAAGUCAUGCUAUGAGCAACAAUUUCUGUGUUCCACAUCAUCUACAAGCAACACAAUCUGUGACUCUCCAUCUGCCCCUAGUUAUGCUUUGGCCAGUAAUCCAAUUGCUACCGUCAUGCUUUCCUCUUAAAGAGUCCCUGGAUAUUCCUGCCUAGCUUGAGGGAAGUUACUUCAUUAGGGUGAUUUGGGCACUUGGGGAACCUUUGCCAUCUUUAUGACUUAAAUUUUGACUUACCAAAAUAAAUAAGACAUAUAAGGAAAGAACAUAAAUUUAAUAGAAAAAUUCAACAUAUUUCCCCGUGGAUGUCUUAUUUACAUUAAUUUGGCCUCUCCUUUCUGUCCUACUCACCCCUCCUAAAUAGAAAACAAAGUUAAUUAUUUGAUUGGCUGUAUUAGGGAAAGAAUUAGGGCUGAACCUGUUUGUCUUUUGUUCUCUGUUUAUUUGGAAAUCUGAAAUAGCAUCUAUUCUUGGAUUAUCUGUAUCAUAAAUAUUCAAGGUCAGGGAAGGCUGAAAUCUUCAGUUCAUCAAUAACCAGUUGGGUUCAAUGCAGGGGUGCUGAGCAGGAAGCCCACUUUUGCAGAGGAGGGAGCCGUUGUGUGCAAACAGCCUGAUUAGUAAUAAAGGCAGUGAUUUUGUUGUCUAUCUCUUUGGUUUCUCCCCUAUACAUUAAUUAAUUUAAAUGUGGGGUUAGGGAAGACAUUCAGUAAGUCUUUCGAAACCCUAACAACAGUUUACAGAACAAACAUCACAUUUAACACUUUUUUUUUUUUUUUGAGACAGGGUCUCACGCUGUCACCCAGGCUUGAGGGCAGUGGCACAAUCUCUGCUCACUGCAACCUCUGCCUCCCAGGAUCAGGCUAUUCUAAUGCCUCAGCCUCCAGAGUAGCUAGGAUUACAGGCACCCGCCAUCAUGCCUGGCUGAUUUUUGAAUUUUGAGUAGAGAUGGGGUUUCACCAUAUCGGCCAGGCUGGUAACAUUUAACACUCUUACUGGUAAAUUUAACACACCUAGCCAGAAUCUUUGCAUCCUUUCCUGGGAAUAUCAUGAGAAGAGACUUCAAUUUAUGAUAAUUCUCAAAGGAUAGGUAAAUGACACUUUUCGGUCACGUACCUUGAAAUCACCUCUCAAAAACAUUAAUUAUAAAAAGAAAUGCUCAUAUGAGGAGAGACAGGUAUUAUUGUGUUGCCCUAACCUGUGGCAUUUCUGUGAGAAGGUGCAAGGCCAGGUCCCCACACUGUUUAAGCAUUCAGAAGACAGCAGAUAGCAUGCUCCUCCAUAUCCAUUCACAGCUCCCAAAAAUGCAGUGGUUGGCAUCACAGCCUCAAAGCAUUCAAAAAAAUUUCCAGAAGUUUUGACUUUUCACCCAAAUGGUUUUACCAUUUUCAUCUUAAAAAGGAAGAGCUGGACCUGGCACCACACCAACCAUCAUAUCGUCCUCUUGAGUUGAUCAUUGCCCAUUGGGGAGUGAGAAGCAGGCUAUGAAAGCAAACAGCUUAGCCGUGGUUACUAGACGAGCGGUAAUAUACACCCAGAAGAGAAGGAGAUGGUAGGACCACAGAGAGCAAAGGAUGCAGCCACAGACCAAGGAAUACCACAGGCACCAGAAGCUGGAAGAGCCAAGAAAUGGAUGUUUCCCCAGAGCCUCUGGAGGGAGCAGGCCCUGCUGACACCCUGAGUUUGGCCUAGUGAAACUGACUUCAGACUUCUAGCCUUCAGAACAGGGAAACAAUACAUUUCGGGUUUGUUUAUGGCAAUUUAUCAUAGCAGCGACAGGAAAUUAACUCAUAAAUCACUGGUCCCCAUUUCCUUGCUCAGGUGAAAAAUGUCCCUUGGGUUCACUCUCUUUGGACUUUUGGGGCCCAUUAUGUGCUAGACUGACAACUGCAGGCACAGUCCAUUUUCAUUGCACAGGGGGCAUUGUCUAAACUUACCGGUUUGACUUGACAAAUAAUACAAACAAAAUAAAUUUAGUUUUGACAGACUGAAAUGAAUUGAAUUGGUUGAAGUGAACAUAAAGAACCAUAUGAUUUUUUAAAAAACUACUUCUUAUUUUUUAAAGCCCAACACAGUACUGUGGAUUAUAACAUAUGUAUACAUGUUUGUGGGUAUCUAUACAUGCACAUAUACACACACACACACACACACAUAUAUAUAUAUAUAUAUACACACAUAUAUAUAUGAAUUUUCAACCAAAAUGUGAAGAAAAUUGUAGUUAAAAAUGCCAUAAUUUAUCUUUUACUGGUAAUUUCUAACUUAUCGCUUUAAUUUUCUCUGCCUCCCAAACAUCCUUACUCAAAAAUUGGAGAAGAAAUUUUUAUUUAUCCAUCUAGCUCCUCUUUAUCAUCUUAGUCUGUUCAGCUGCAAUAUCACUACAGCAGGGAUAACACUUUUAAAUAUAAUCUGCUCUAAUCUGCAUAAUUGUCUAACAGAAAACAGACAGGUGGUGCCUUCUCAAUCAGCUUAAGGUCAGUCUCUGAAGCAAACGUCACGAACAUAUGCAAAUCGUCGGCUAAUAUGCUAAAUCAGAGGAUGUGUUUUUAUUAAGAAUUUCGAAUCUGCAAAAUGGUUUCUCCUUGUAUUAUUUUUUCCUGGAAACUUUCAGGUUUUUUCCUUUGUGCUGUAUGUUUAAGCCUGUAUGCUAAUCUUGACUUAAUCCCUAUUCAUCUUUCCAUCAUUAAACACGAUCCUGUCAUUCAGAUGUUUGAAGGCUUAAGAGUGACUGUUUCUACUCUUUUAACUGCAACAAUUUGGCAUCCUGUUUCCCAUAACUGCCAUAUCCAUGUUUUAUGGGAUUUUGAAAAGGUUUCGGGAAGUAUUUUGGACACAGGACAGCCUACUGAAUGAGACUUGGAAAGUGCCCCAAGCAAAGUGGUAGGGGCCAAGAGAAAGCCCAGAAAUGAUUCAUGGUGUGUUCACACCGUGUGGGCUGGCAAGUGCGGGAGACGGCUCUCUGCUAGCAGACUGGAACUAAAUUCUUAGACAUUCCUGGGUUGCCAAACAAUGUCAUCACAGGGGUUCCUAAAGAAGCUGUGAAUUGGAUGUCAGUGUCUUUUGGCUGAAAGGAGAGUUUGUGUCAGACCCCAAGAGGUCUCCUUAGAUACAUUUUUCUAAUUGAGGCUCCUUCUCUUCCCCUGACAAAGAAAAGCAUUGACACCUGUGUAUUCUGCGUGGGGAAGACUUUCAGCUAAGCCAGAUUCCAAGCGGGAGGUUACAGCAGGCUCGGGUGUGGUUUAUUCCCUCUGCCAGUUCAAUACUUUUACCCCACAUUUUCAAAGAAAGUGUGUGUCCUGUCUGGUCCCUGCACACCCUUCCUCCUCACCCAACACUCUGUGGUCCUACAAUUUGACUACUAUUCUUGCUGCUAGAGAGGCCAGGCUACACGGCAUCCAAAGGGGAUCCCAUCGCCACGGCAGACACUUUGGCUACGUCCUGCCCUUCUCUUUCCUUCUCUGACCUUUUAUUUCCAUGGUGAAAAUCCACAGCUCUUUAACACACUCUGCAGCAGCCCAUUUUUAGCUUAAAUAAAAGUGAAGAGAGGAUUUAGUAUUCCAAUCCCACUGCAUUAGUGUCAAAUAUGUUUAUGCUAGUAAGAGGAAAAUAAAUACAUUCUGUCAUACAGAUGCCAUUCAAAUCUAAUGGGACUCAAUUUCAUGCUUUCAAUACUGAGAGGAAGUACCCAGAUUAGCCUCAAAUCAAGAGUGAUUCCUGAAACUUCUCUAUUUGCCACAUGCUAGAUUUCCAGUUUUUUUAUUGUCUUUAUAUAUAUAUUUUUUAAUAGCAACAACACUAGAUACCAUUCUGACAUGCUUUCC
Molecule: long non-coding RNA, 4629 nt
Filed under: Homo sapiens (human)
Lineage: Eukaryota; Metazoa; Chordata; Mammalia; Primates; Hominidae
Description: HSALNT0083746
Source: RNAcentral